AAGUUGUCAACUUGAAAAAUGUGUAAAAUUAAUUUUUAAACACUUUUCUAGUUGACCACUUUUUUAUAGCU
Caenorhabditis elegans is the source of this 71-nucleotide non-coding RNA. The record is from Ensembl. Lineage: Eukaryota; Metazoa; Nematoda; Chromadorea; Rhabditida; Rhabditidae.